AUGGUAUUUUAGUAGCAAAAAAUCUCACAAACCAUUCUCUAGCUAGUGCACCAACCCUGCUCAACCACUUUGUUACAUGCAAUAUUUCAUCGGUUUACAGUGGUCCACAACUACUUAUAGAAUCCUCUCCAACCAUUGACUAUAUAGAGGUAACAGAUUUUAAGAUAAAUGUGUUCCGCAGUUAGUGGAAAAAAGUAAGAAACCAUCAAAAUCUGUAAUGUAAAAUAAAUUGUGAUAUGAGGGGAAUUUCUUAGGAUGCCGGAAUAUGAUGAAGACACAUAAGUUAUGGUGGCAAACGACGAUGCGAGUUUGUUCGUCGAAAUGGUGUUGCAAAAUACUUCAACACUCAAGUCAAUAUGCAAUUGAGGUGAGUAAGAGGUAAUAUAAAGGAAGACUUCUAUCCAUUGGUGUAAGAGAGUAGUAUUUUUGCCAAGAAAUAUCAUUAUAUUUUAGUAGAUAGGGCGAAUGAAUUGCACUAGAUUGAGGGAUUGACAUCAGAUGCAUCUUACGGUUAUGAUUGAGUGACUUUUAGGGUUUGAUUGCAAGAUUGGAGGGGAAUGAAGGAAGGACUUUUGGGGUGGUGAAAAAGAGAGAGAAAUAUGAAGGAAUCUUCUACAUUAUUUGAAAGAGCAAUUUUGUAUAGAAUGAUAAGAGUAUCAUAAGAACAUGUAAAUGAUUUGAAGAAGUU
This 688-nucleotide long non-coding RNA is filed under the name Medicago truncatula (barrel medic). Its description in RNAcentral is "lncRNA gene34805". Lineage: Eukaryota; Viridiplantae; Streptophyta; Magnoliopsida; Fabales; Fabaceae. The record is from RNAcentral.